This 313-nucleotide ribosomal RNA is filed under the name Mimetus sp. GH1569. Its description in RNAcentral is "partial 12S ribosomal RNA". The record is from RNAcentral. Lineage: Eukaryota; Metazoa; Arthropoda; Arachnida; Araneae; Mimetidae.
ACAAAAUAUAUAGGUAGUAAAUUUAUUUAAACCUUUAUAUUAUGGCGGCAUUUCAUCUUAUUAGAGGAACAUGUUUUUUAAUCGAAAACACACGAUCAUUUUUACUCUUUCUAAAAUUUUAUAUACCUCCGUCCUGGAACUAUUUAAUUCUGAAAUAAAACUCUAAAAGGAUAGGUAAAGGUGUAAACCAUGAUUUAGAAAAAAUGUGUUACAUUAAAAAAAAUUUAAGGACUUACCCCUAAAAUUUUUACAAAAAAGGAUUUAAAAGUAAUAUUUUUAUAAUAUUUAAAUUUGAUUAAGAAAAUAAAUGUGC